GUGGGGAAUCUUGGACAAUGGGCGCAAGCCUGAUCCAGCCAUGCCGCGUGAGUGAUGAAGGCCUUAGGGUUGUAAAACUCUUUCGCCGAGGACGAUAAUGACGGUACUCGGAGAAGAAGCUCCGGCUAACUUCGUGCCAGCAGCCGCGGUAAUACGAAGGGGGCUAGCGUUGUUCGGAUUUACUGGGCGUAAAGCGCGUGUAGGCGGGUCGUUAAGUUGGGGGUGAAAUCCCGGAGCUCAACUCCGGAACUGCCUCCAAAACUGGCGACCUGGAGCAAGAUAGAGGCAAGUGGAAUUCCGAGUGUAGAGGUGAAAUUCGUAGAUAUUCGGAGGAACACCAGUGGCGAAGGCGACUUGCUGGAUCUUUGCUGACGCUGAGACGCGAAAGCGUGGGGAGCAAACAGGAUUAGAUACCCUUGUAGUCC
This 425-nucleotide ribosomal RNA is filed under the name uncultured bacterium. RNAcentral's name for it is "bacterial SSU rRNA". It matches the Rfam family "Bacterial small subunit ribosomal RNA", at positions 354 to 796 of the family's 1533-position model. The record is from RNAcentral.